UAGGGAAUCUUCGGCAAUGGGGGGAACCCUGACCGAGCAACGCCGCGUGAGUGAAGAAGGUUUUCGGAUCGUAAAGCUCUGUUGUUAAGGAAGAACGAGUGUGAGAAUGGAAAGUUCAUGCUGUGACGGUACUUAACCAGAAAGGGACGGCUAACUACGUGCCAGCAGCCGCGGUAAUACGUAGGUCCCGAGCGUUGUCCGGAUUUAUUGGGCGUAAAGCGAGCGCAGGCGGUUAGAAAAGUCUGAAGUGAAAGGCAGUGGCUCAACCAUUGUAGGCUUUGGAAACUGUUUACCUUGAGUGCAGAAGGGGAGAGUGGAAUUCCAUGUGUAGCGGUGAAAUGCGUAGAUAUAUGGAGGAACACCGGUGGCGAAAGCGGCUCUCUGGUCUGUAACUGACGCUGAGGCUCGAAAGCGUGGGGAGCGAACAGG
RNAcentral lists this ribosomal RNA (429 nucleotides) under Bacteroidota bacterium. Its description in RNAcentral is "Bacteroidetes bacterium partial 16S ribosomal RNA". It matches the Rfam family "Bacterial small subunit ribosomal RNA", at positions 355 to 776 of the family's 1533-position model. The record is from RNAcentral. Lineage: Bacteria; Pseudomonadati; Bacteroidota.